This 223-nucleotide unclassified non-coding RNA is filed under the name Hevea brasiliensis (rubber tree). The record is from RNAcentral. Lineage: Eukaryota; Viridiplantae; Streptophyta; Magnoliopsida; Malpighiales; Euphorbiaceae.
AUACAACUCAACUCUUAGUCUCAAACAGCCUCAGUUUCUUUGUUUAUAUAGAUCCUUUUUCUCCAUUUUGCUAAGCGUAGGAUCUAAAUAUGUUUCGCAGAGAACAUUCAUUACAAUUUUGAAGGAGCAUCAAGUGAUUUAUAAGGAGUAUUAACUAACUAGGCUAUUUUUCUCCUAAGUUUUAAGAUCUUCCCUAGUAAGCUUUUAGAAUUCUCAAUCUGGC